RNAcentral lists this small RNA (431 nucleotides) under Malus domestica (apple). RNAcentral describes it as "sRNA MD15G0087800". The record is from RNAcentral. Lineage: Eukaryota; Viridiplantae; Streptophyta; Magnoliopsida; Rosales; Rosaceae.
GAUUUUCAGUUUCAAAUUGCUCUGAGAAAUGAAUUUUGAGACGUUUAUGUAUUAUGAAUUGGGUUUUGAAUUUCAGUCAGAGAAAUGAAUUUUCAUGAGAAUUUUUGGUUGCUAGGAGUUUAGGUGAAUUUAGUAAAAGCUGCUUGAAGCUGGCAUCCCUAAGUUUCCAUUUUUUGUUGGAUUACCAUUGUGAAAGAAGUUAACUUUGGAUGCACAUGUAAGUAUGAAUUACACUGGAGGAAAUUGGCGGUGAGUGAUCGAAAUUCCCAAGGGAAAUGGGAGUUAUGAACUAGAUUCGUAUGAGUAUUCGUAUUCGGGUUGUUCUAAGUUUGAGUUCAUGUUCAUGAGCUUGAUGUCGGCACAUUUUCCGUAUAAGAACACUUGAAAGGUUUGGUUUUGGUGGUGUUGUUUGAAGCUGUAUCAAUAAAUUU